AACGAACGCUGGCGGCAGGCCUAACACAUGCAAGUCGAGCGCUCACUUCGGUGGGAGCGGCGGACGGGUUAGUAACGCGUGGGAACGUGCCCAGAUCUAAGGAAUAGCCACUGGAAACGGUGAGUAAUACCUUAUACGCCCUUCGGGGGAAAGAUUUAUCGGAUUUGGAUCGGCCCGCGUUAGAUUAGAUAGUUGGUGGGGUAACGGCCUACCAAGUCUACGAUCUAUAGCUGGUUUUAGAGGAUGAUCAGCAACACUGGGACUGAGACACGGCCCAGACUCCUACGGGAGGCAGCAGUGGGGAAUCUUGGACAAUGGGGGCAACCCUGAUCCAGCCAUGCCGCGUGAGUGAUGAAGGCCUUAGGGUCGUAAAGCUCUUUCGCCAGGGAUGAUAAUGACAGUACCUGGUAAAGAAACCCCGGCUAACUCCGUGCCAGCAGCCGCGGUAAU
RNAcentral lists this ribosomal RNA (450 nucleotides) under uncultured bacterium. RNAcentral's name for it is "bacterial SSU rRNA". It matches the Rfam family "Bacterial small subunit ribosomal RNA", at positions 29 to 524 of the family's 1533-position model. The record is from RNAcentral.